AUUGAACGCUGGCGGCAUGCCUUACACAUGCCAGUCGAACGGCAGCACGGGUGCUUGCACCUGGUGGCGAGUGGCGAACGGGUGAGUAAUACAUCGGAACAUGUCCUGUAGUGGGGGAUAGCCCGGCGAAAGCCGGAUUAAUACCGCAUACGAUCUACGGAUGAAAGCGGGGGACCUUCGGGCCUCGCGCUAUAGGGUUGGCCGAUGGCUGAUUAGCUAGUUGGUGGGGUAAAGGCCUACCAAGGCGACGAUCAGUAGCUGGUCUGAGAGGACGACCAGCCACACUGGGACUGAGACACGGCCCAGACUCCUACGGGAGGCAGCAGUGGGGAAUUUUGGACAAUGGGCGAAAGCCUGAUCCAGCAAUGCCGCGUGUGUGAAGAAGGCCUUCGGGUUGUAAAGCACUUUUGUCCGGAAAGAAAUCCUUGGCCCUAAUACGGUCGGGGGAUGACGGUACCGGAAGAAUAAGCACCGGCUAACUACGU
This 485-nucleotide ribosomal RNA is filed under the name uncultured bacterium. RNAcentral's name for it is "partial 16S ribosomal RNA". It matches the Rfam family "Bacterial small subunit ribosomal RNA", at positions 30 to 506 of the family's 1533-position model. The record is from RNAcentral.